Lathyrus oleraceus (garden pea) is the source of this 1453-nucleotide long non-coding RNA. RefSeq lists it as uncharacterized. Lineage: Eukaryota; Viridiplantae; Streptophyta; Magnoliopsida; Fabales; Fabaceae. The transcript has 2 exons. The record is from RefSeq and is a predicted model, not a curated record.
AAAAAGGAUAGACGUCAACUCUGGGGUUGGGUAUAAUAGGAUGGACAUCGACUCUGAGGUCGGGAACAAAAUGGUAAGCGUCAACUCUGAGGUUAGAUUUAUAGAUAUCAGCUCUGGGGUCGGGGGAUAAGAAAAGAUACAACAACUCGAAAGUUGGGAAAAAGGUAGACAUUCAGCUCUGAGGCUAGGGGGGAAAAGGUACAUCAACUCCAAAGUUGGAAACAGAUAGACGUUUAGCUCUGAGGCCGAAGGUAGAAAAGGUACAUCAACUCCUAAGUUGGAAAAAGGUAGGCGUUCAACUCUGAGGCUGGAAGUAAAAGAGAAACACCAAUUCUAAAGUUGGAAAAAUGUAGUUGCACAACUCUGAAGUUGGGAGAAAAGAUGGUAAACGCCUACUCCGAAGUUGAAAAAAGAUGAUGAACAUGAACUUUAAGGGUUGGAAGCAAACACAUGGGCCAUGAGCCCAAUCCGCUUCACCAAAAAACAAACCAAAGGGAAAGCACUCUUCCCUCAUGUGCCAGAACAACACUAACACAGUUUAAAAACUAUUCCCUCCAACCUCAGCCGAAGAACAAACCUCCGCCGCGCAAGAGCUCAUCGUCGGCGGUGGCAGAGCUCUAAACACGAGAAGACAGUCACCGAAAUGACCGCCUCUACCUCACCAAUCCAAAUCCAUACUCCAAAUGUCCUAAAACUAAAUCCAACAUCCGAAUCACAAUCAAAAUCUCAAGAACCCUAAACUAUAACAUCACAAAUUAAAUCCUCUGGUGGAGGAAUCAGAGUCCCUAGGCGUAGGGAUUUGAUUCCUCAAGUGCUAAUCUACGUCCUAGUAACCGAUUCGAUACAGGGUGAGGCAGAAAUCGAACUACCUCUUGAAGACCGGUGCGAUGACGACGAUGAAAGUCAAAUCUCAGGUGGACCCUACUGAGCUAGGUGUGCUCAUUCUGUUAUCCUUUUUUUGCAGGGCUUUGGUUUAGACUCUAUUUGGAAUUUGCGGAUUGAAAAUGAUGUCGGUGAUUUGCGAUGUGGUGUUGUUUUGAGAAAAAUGCAGGAGAAUGAAAUUGAUGGUUGUCGGCUAAUGGACCUACUAUUGUUAAUGUAUUUUUGUGUCAAUGCAAAUGAUGAAAUUAGUUUAGCAUGUUGUGAUGAUAGCAGUUAUGGAAAUUAGUUGGAAUAAAAUCUGUUUUGGUUGGUUAGGGUGAAUGAAUGUUUAGUUUCGGUUUUCUGUUAGUGGUUAUGUGAUGGUUAUGGGUAAUAUUAGGUAGGUUUUAUUUGCUUUGCCUUAGGACUGUUUUCAUUGUUUGUAAUGGUGAAUGGUAUGUGUUGUAAUGGUUAUGAAUAUGUAUGUAAUGAAUGUCAUUCGGUUGUAAAUAGGGAAUGGGUCUCAUGCUAAAUGUAUGGCAAGUUGAUUUUGGAAUUGUAUUAAAUGUAAUAAAAUUUGGGAAUUGGUUUA